Molecule: long non-coding RNA, 545 nt
Organism: Oreochromis aureus
Lineage: Eukaryota; Metazoa; Chordata; Actinopteri; Cichliformes; Cichlidae
Exons: 3
Source: RefSeq, a predicted model, not a curated record
UGAUUUAAAUAUCUGUGUUCUGAUAUUGAAAGUUAUUUUAAGUUAGACUGUUUUCUUGGAUUUGCUAAAUGUUUAAAUAUGCGAUUGUAACUCUCUGGUGCCACCUUAAAACCUGUAGUCGGUAGUAGGACAUGAUGUCGUCAGUAAACAGGAAGUAAGUCUGUGAAAUAAGGAGAAGGCAUGUGCAGCAUGGUGGCCUUAGUCAGACAAAUCCAGUGGCAUCCACAUACAUCCUUUGCCUUUGGUAGCAUUGUGGUUUCACCUUUCCCUGUGUCAAUAAACCUGUGAACCGGGAAUCGUGUCGUCAGAGUCUUGAUGUGGGGAAGGAGUUUAGCUGACUGCCCAACCAUAGCAGAGGCAGUACAGUGAAACCACACUUCCUAGCGGGCAAGAUAACGUGGAAACGCCGACAGAUGUUUCACCUUUCCCUGUGUCAAUAAACCUGUGAACCGGGAAUCGUGUCGUCAGAGUCUUGAUGUGGGGAAGGAGUUUAGCUGACUGCCCAACCAUAGCAGAGGCAGUACAAUCUGAUACAUCAACCAAUG